GAGGUUUAGUGCAAUAGCAGAGUGGAGCCCUGGUACAGCACGGCUUGUAAACCCUACAACAGCCAAUGGACAUGCAGCAAAGAGAAAGAGGGCUGACACCCCUGAUGGAGUACUGAGCCUGUGGCAGGGUGUGGCAGACUCAGGACUGAUGGGGGAGGUCUUGUCCAGUCUUCAGACUGAAUUCUUAGCCAGUCUCAAAGGAGUGGAGGUUCGCAGUGAGAAUGACAACCUGCAGGAGACAGAUGCCAUCAUGCUUAAUUCCUUGUGUGAGAUGUUCGGGCUUUUAGACUCAGUGAAGCAAACUCUGGAUCUGAGGCGCAG
Long non-coding RNA from Seriola dumerili (greater amberjack), 321 nucleotides. RefSeq lists it as uncharacterized. The record is from RefSeq and is a predicted model, not a curated record. Lineage: Eukaryota; Metazoa; Chordata; Actinopteri; Carangiformes; Carangidae. The transcript has 3 exons.